Culex pipiens pallens (northern house mosquito) is the source of this 1604-nucleotide long non-coding RNA. RefSeq lists it as uncharacterized. The record is from RefSeq and is a predicted model, not a curated record. The transcript is spliced from 3 exons. Lineage: Eukaryota; Metazoa; Arthropoda; Insecta; Diptera; Culicidae.
UUCUCGAAAGGGGCGCAUGGGGUGCUUGUUUAGAUUGCGAAAGGGCGCUAACAGUCAAUCUUUAAACUCAAUAAAUAAUACUUUGGAAUAUUUUACAUAUAUUUUGCUGGUUCGAAUCCCGCGGCGGACGCUCUAAAAUUCUAAGUGUAAAUAUGGGUAUCCGGCGCCGUCGCUCUGUGCCUUACUCAAACAGGGCGGCGAAGUCCUUGUAGUUAAAAGGAUGACAGUGGCUGGUCUAGUCCCGGGUGACAGAUAUAAAGUCAACUUCGUUUUUUAUAUAUUUUACAUUGGUGCAACAAGAGACUACACUUUUUGAAUUGGUGCUGCAAAUCGUGUUGAAUAGCACCAUGAAAGGGGGGCGUUAAUUCGGAGUUUGAGCGAAUUUGAGAUUUUUGCGCAAAUGAGAGUUUUGGCGUAAAUCGUGUAACAUUUCAUGUGUCACAUACUGUAAAACGAUAUAAAAAUAAUGCGCCUGCAAGUAGACUGCAAACAACUGAACCCUUUUGAUUUGAUUGUGUGCACAUACACAUGUAGUAUACCACUGCUUUGAUCUACUUUUGAUAUCACGACGAGAUUGAAAUGAUAUCUACAAUUGAAAUUAAAACCGUGUUCGUGUGUUUUAAUUUCCUGCGUCGCAAAAGAAUCUGAUUGGUUGAUUCAAGGUCAACUAGGUACAAUUAUCACGGCUCGAGGAACUCUAUAAAGCUGAGUCGAAAAACCGACGCUUCACUUUAGUUGGAGUGCUUUUACGAAACGGUUUUGCUUUUUUCGAACAGUUUAAUUUCGGUGAAAAGUUUUAAGUGGAAUUAGUUCUGGUGAUUGUGAUACUCUUUCUGGAAAAGCACAAUCAAAGCUUUGAAGAAUAGUUCCCCCCAGAACAAGCAAAGGUUAUGCGAACCCUUUGCACGUGUCAGGUUGCCCAUUAACGUGGGUGCAAGUCUCGGGGCAGAAAAGCCGUACAUUUCGUCGUUCGACGCUGGGAAAGCUUCGUUGGUCAGACUGGUGGAUGAAAACCACGACGGGGUCGUGACGAACCGUUUCAACCGCCUUAGUCAACUCCAACGACUCGGAGACGCAUCUACUCCGCCCACCCAGUUGACCCCACACGUCCUUUUCGAAGCAAUCCCAGAGCUUGGAGGAAUUUCCGAGCUUUCGAGCACGCCAAAAGCUCGCCGGCUGCCCAGCCGAUUCUAACCUCGCUUGCCCGACCGAAGGAAGUGCGAGGAACGAGACAAAAGCCUGACAGCAGCAGUACCAUCCGUCUCCACGGAUACGAAACAACGUUGGACCGAGCGUCCCCAUCAAGAACGUCGCCGUGAGACGGCCACGUGUAAACGUUGGUUCCGCUAGAACGUGUCGACGCCCAUCGCUGUGCCACGUGUCCACGGUGGAGUACUGCUAGCCGCCGCUAGAGUGCGGUAGGGUUGCGCGAACGCACCGGAGCUGUUUGAUCGCUGAUCGUCGCAGUAGGUCCGGACCUAGGAAAAUCUUCACGCCGUUCAAGAACACCUGCAAGCAGUUGCUGGUACCAGAUUAGUAGGGUAAAGUACAGUGCACGACAAUAGGGAAUAGUUUUUGCUAGAUUUAAGAUCUAAACCCCCCUU